RNAcentral lists this ribosomal RNA (901 nucleotides) under Escherichia coli. Its description in RNAcentral is "partial 23S ribosomal RNA". It matches the Rfam family "Bacterial large subunit ribosomal RNA", at positions 1 to 934 of the family's 2925-position model. Lineage: Bacteria; Pseudomonadati; Pseudomonadota; Gammaproteobacteria; Enterobacterales; Enterobacteriaceae. The record is from RNAcentral.
GGGUUGUGAGGUUAAGCGACUAAGCGUACACGGUGGAUGCCCUGGCAGUCAGAGGCGAUGAAGGACGUGCUAAUCUGCGAUAAGCGUCGGUAAGGUGAUAUGAACCGUUAUAACCGGCGAUUUCCGAAUGGGGAAACCCAGUGUGUUUCGACACACUAUCAUUAACUGAAUCCAUAGGUUAAUGAGGCGAACCGGGGGAACUGAAACAUCUAAGUACCCCGAGGAAAAGAAAUCAACCGAGAUUCCCCCAGUAGCGGCGAGCGAACGGGGAGCAGCCCAGAGCCUGAAUCAGUGUGUGUGUUAGUGGAAGCGUCUGGAAAGGCGCGCGAUACAGGGUGACAGCCCCGUACACAAAAAUGCACAUGCUGUGAGCUCGAUGAGUAGGGCGGGACACGUGGUAUCCUGUCUGAAUAUGGGGGGACCAUCCUCCAAGGCUAAAUACUCCUGACUGACCGAUAGUGAACCAGUACCGUGAGGGAAAGGCGAAAAGAACCCCGGCGAGGGGAGUGAAAAAGAACCUGAAACCGUGUACGUACAAGCAGUGGGAGCACGCUUAGGCGUGUGACUGCGUACCUUUUGUAUAAUGGGUCAGCGACUUAUAUUCUGUAGCAAGGUUAACCGAAUAGGGGAGCCGAAGGGAAACCGAGUCUUAACUGGGCGUUAAGUUGCAGGGUAUAGACCCGAAACCCGGUGAUCUAGCCAUGGGCAGGUUGAAGGUUGGGUAACACUAACUGGAGGACCGAACCGACUAAUGUUGAAAAAUUAGCGGAUGACUUGUGGCUGGGGGUGAAAGGCCAAUCAAACCGGGAGAUAGCUGGUUCUCCCCGAAAGCUAUUUAGGUAGCGCCUCGUGAAUUCAUCUCCGGGGGUAGAGCACUGUUUCGGCAAGGGGGUCAUCCCGA